This 459-nucleotide ribosomal RNA is filed under the name uncultured bacterium. RNAcentral's name for it is "partial 16S ribosomal RNA". It matches the Rfam family "Bacterial small subunit ribosomal RNA", at positions 338 to 795 of the family's 1533-position model. The record is from RNAcentral.
CCUACGGGGGGCAGCAGUGAGGAAUAUUGGUCAAUGGGCGCGAGCCUGAACCAGCCAAGUCGCGUGAGGGAAGACGGUCCUACGGAUUGUAAACCUCUUUUAUCGGGGAGUAAAACGCCCUACGUGUAGCGUUCCGCGUGUACCCGAAGAAAAAGCAUCGGCUAACUCCGUGCCAGCAGCCGCGGUAAUACGGAGGAUCCGGGCGUUAUCCGGAUUUAUUGGGUUUAAAGGGUGCGCAGGCGGAAGAUCAAGCCAGCGGUAAAAUUGAGAGGCUCAACCUCGUCGUGCCGGUGAAACUGGUGUGCUUGAGUGAGCGAGAAGUAGGCGGAAUGCGUGGUGUAGCGGUGAAAUGCAUAGAUAUGACGAAGAACUCCGAUUGCGAAGGCAGCAUACUGGCGCGGAACUGACGCUGAUGCACGAAAGUGUGGGUAUCGAACAGGAUUAGAUACCCGAGUAGUC